This 45-nucleotide non-coding RNA is filed under the name Echinostoma caproni. Lineage: Eukaryota; Metazoa; Platyhelminthes; Trematoda; Plagiorchiida; Echinostomatidae. The record is from RNAcentral.
GCACUGCUGAUGAGACCCAACCAGGUCGAAACGUCCGUCCGUUAC